This 440-nucleotide ribosomal RNA is filed under the name uncultured bacterium. RNAcentral describes it as "partial 16S ribosomal RNA". It matches the Rfam family "Bacterial small subunit ribosomal RNA", at positions 338 to 795 of the family's 1533-position model. The record is from RNAcentral.
CCUACGGGAGGCUGCAGUGGGGGAUAUUGCACAAUGGGGGGAACCCUGAUGCAGCGACGCCGCGUGGGUGAAGAAGCGCCUCGGCGCGUAAAGCCCUGUCAGCAGGGAAGAAAAAGACGGUAACUGAAGAAGAAGCCCCGGCUAACUACGUGCCAGCAGCCGCGGUAAUACGUAGGGGGCAAGCGUUAUCCGGAUGUACUGGGUGGAAAGGGGGCGCAGGCGGCGAUGCAAGCAAGGAGUGAAAGCGCGGGGCCCAACCCGGGGACUGCUCUUGGAACUGCGUGGCUGGAGUGCAGGAGGGGCAGGCGGAAUUCCUGGUGUAGCGGUGAAAUGCGUAGAUAUCAGGAGGAACACCGGUGGCGAAGGCGGCCUGCUGGACUGCAACUGACGUUGAGGCUCGAAAGCGUGGGGAGCAAACAGGAUUAGAUACCCGAGUAGUC